RNAcentral lists this ribosomal RNA (481 nucleotides) under uncultured bacterium. RNAcentral describes it as "partial 16S ribosomal RNA". It matches the Rfam family "Bacterial small subunit ribosomal RNA", at positions 28 to 523 of the family's 1533-position model. The record is from RNAcentral.
GACGAACGCUGGCGGCGUGCUUAACACAUGCAAGUCGAACGAUGAAGGAGAGCUUGCUCUCCGGAUUAGUGGCGAACGGGUGAGUAACACGUGACUAACCUGCCCCUUUCUCUGGGAUAACGCUCCGAAAGGAGUGCUAAUACCGGAUACGAACUCUGAACACAUGUUCGGAGUUGGAAAGUUUUUCGGAAAGGGAUGGAGUCGCGGCCGAUCAGCUUGUUGGUGAGGUAACGGCUCACCAAGGCGACGACGGGUAGCUGGUCUGAGAGGACGGCCAGCCACACUGGGACUGAGGUACGGCCCAGACUCCUACGGGAGGCCGCAGUGGGGAAUCUUGCGCAAUGGGCGAAAGCCUGACGCAGCGACGCCGCGUGGGGGACGAAGGCCUUCGGGUUGUAAACCCCUUUCGGCAGGGACGAAGCGAUCGUGACGGUACCUGCAGAAGAAGCUCCGGCUAACUACGUGCCAGCCGCCGCAGUAA